Molecule: ribosomal RNA, 403 nt
Filed under: Verrucomicrobiota bacterium
Lineage: Bacteria; Pseudomonadati; Verrucomicrobiota
Description: Verrucomicrobia bacterium partial 16S ribosomal RNA
Rfam family: Bacterial small subunit ribosomal RNA
Source: RNAcentral
UGGGGAAUAUUGCACAAUGGGCGCAAGCCUGAUGCAGCAACGCCGCGUGAACGAUGAAGGUCUUCGGAUCGUAAAGUUCUGUUGCAGGGGAAGAUAAUGACGGUACCCUGUGAGGAAGCCCCGGCUAACUACGUGCCAGCAGCCGCGGUAAUACGUAGGGGGCUAGCGUUAUCCGGAUUUACUGGGCGUAAAGGGUGCGUAGGUGGUCUUUCAAGUCGGUGGUUAAAGGCUACGGCUCAACCGUAGUUAGCCUCCGAAACUGGAAGACUUGAGUGCAGGAGAGGAAAGUGGAAUUCCCAGUGUAGCGAUGAAAUGCGUAGAUAUUGGGAGGAACACCAGUAGCGAAGGCGGCUCUCUGGACUGCAACUGACACUGAGGCACGAAAGCGUGGGUAGCAAACAGG